Macaca mulatta (Rhesus monkey) is the source of this 1287-nucleotide non-coding RNA. The record is from RefSeq and is a predicted model, not a curated record. Lineage: Eukaryota; Metazoa; Chordata; Mammalia; Primates; Cercopithecidae.
UCAGAUUCUUUCAUCUCAGCUGGGAGAAAAGAGAUAUUUUUGCUCAUUUAAAAGAAACCUAGAGAUACUUAAUCCAUAUGCACAGAAAGAAUGAGGAUACUAACUCUAAAAUGUCUCAUAAUCAGGCUCAUUCAAUAGGUCAAGUUGGUUGCAGACUUAGAUUUGAAUAUUGGGGUGAUAACAUCUAGGGCGCUAGAAAGGAACUAGUGGGGAUUGUACUUGACCAAAAAGCAUUGAAUUAUGUCCUCUCUGAAGUUUUUGUGUCUUUUUCUCUUUUUUUAAAAAAAGCAUAAAAAUAACACCUGAUGUAAUGGAACAAUAGCUUGGAACUCCUGCUGGUGCUUGAGUGCAUCUCCAGAGAGUACUUUGAAAUAUCACUGCAUACUCAGCAUUUGAGAAACUGAAACUGAUUUGAGAAAAAUUGCUGCUUCAGUGGGCCAUGGUACUCAGCAAGUUUCCCCAAGUGCCUGGCAGCUGUCAUCACUAAUGUGACAUUGUUCGCCGACUGCACACAGGAACUCUUCGCCUGGCGCGCCAGCCACAAAGACGAUGGAGCCCGUGUCCGGGCACUCUUCCUUAUAGGUUGGGCUUAGAAAUCAUGUUCUUAUUUAGAUUCCGCUCACUUCCCUCUCUUUUUCUUCUUCUCAGUUUCAUCAUUCAAAAAGCCAUGUGAAUUUCACACUACCUAAAUGAAGUUUUAAAAUUAUCCAAUUCCACCAAAAUUUAUUCAGAAUCUAGUGUGUGCCAGGCAUUUUGUUAAGCACUGGGUAUGAACAACUAAAUAAAAUACUCCAGAAUCUGAUAUGUUAGAAGGAAUUUAGAAAAGUAAAUACAUAGCUGUAAUAAAAUUAGGAUCGGUCCCACGAUAGGAUUGUUUUUAAAAUGUGAGUGUAUAAGUGAGCAAGAUUAAUUUCAUUGGGUAGUGAGAAGAUAGGGAGAAACCAGAGAAUUGUAAAUACAUUUGAUCUGGUACUUGAAAGAGGUCAUGUAGACCAGAAAAGGAAAGAUACCCAGAUACCUCAAGGUGAGGAACUAGCACUAGGAAGAAGCACGCUGUGUUCAAGUUCUUUGCCCAAGUGACUAUGCACUUGUUAUGGAACAGGCCCUUUAUGUCUAGUUAUGUGGGACUGCUGGUGCCAGAAAGAGUCUGUAUGUAAGGGACAUGGAUGAAGCUGAAACCAUCAUUCUAAGCAAGCUAUCACAAGGACGGAAAACUAAACACCACAUGUUCUCACUCACAGGUGGGAGUUGAACAACGAGGACACAUGGAUACAGGGUGAGGAACAA